This 31-nucleotide small RNA is filed under the name Arabidopsis thaliana (thale cress). RNAcentral describes it as "ATSL056000". The record is from RNAcentral. Lineage: Eukaryota; Viridiplantae; Streptophyta; Magnoliopsida; Brassicales; Brassicaceae.
AGAGAAUCGAUGAACCCUAGAAGACCCCAAC